RNAcentral lists this transfer RNA (57 nucleotides) under Fukomys damarensis (Damara mole-rat). It matches the Rfam family "tRNA", at positions 8 to 63 of the family's 71-position model. From Rfam's summary of the family: Transfer RNA (tRNA) molecules are approximately 80 nucleotides in length. Their secondary structure includes four short double-helical elements and three loops (D, anti-codon, and T loops). Lineage: Eukaryota; Metazoa; Chordata; Mammalia; Rodentia; Bathyergidae. The record is from Rfam by way of RNAcentral.
UAGCUCAGUGGUACAGCAUUUGCCUAACAUGCACAAAGCCCUGGGUUCAAUCCCCAG